Molecule: ribosomal RNA, 468 nt
Filed under: uncultured bacterium
Lineage: Bacteria
Description: partial 16S ribosomal RNA
Rfam family: Bacterial small subunit ribosomal RNA
Source: RNAcentral
GACGAACGCUGGCGGCGUGCUUAACACAUGCAAGUCGAACGGAAAGGCCCUGCUUUUGUGGGGUGCUCGAGUGGCGAACGGGUGAGUAACACGUGAGUAACCUGCCCUUGACUUUGGGAGAACUUCAGGAAACUGGGGCUAAUACCGGAUAGGAGCUCCUGCUGCAUGGUGGGGGUUGGAAAGUUUCGGCGGUUGGGGAUGGACUCGCGGCUUAUCAGCUUGUUGGUGGGGUAGUGGCUUACCAAGGCUUUGACGGGUAGCCGGCCUGAGAGGGUGACCGGCCACAUUGGGACUGAGAUACGGCCCAGACGCCUACGGGAGGCAGCAGUGGGGAAUAUUGCACAAUGGGCGGAAGCCUGAUGCAGCAACGCCGCGUGCGUGAUGACGGCCUUCGGGUUGUAAACCGCUUUCGCCUGUGACGAAGCGUGAGUGACGGUACUGGGUAAAGAAGCACCGGCUAACUACGUG